CAGUCCACUGGUAGCUGGAAAGCUAGGGGCGGUAGCGUG
Molecule: regulatory RNA element, 39 nt
Organism: Rhodnius prolixus
Lineage: Eukaryota; Metazoa; Arthropoda; Insecta; Hemiptera; Reduviidae
Rfam family: JUMPstart RNA
Source: Rfam